AGAGUUUGAUCAUGGCUCAGAAUCAACGCUGGCGGCGCGCUUAACACAUGCAAGUCGAACGAGAAAGGGGAGCAAUCCCUGAGUACAGUGGCGUACGGGUGAGUAACACGUGGAUGAUCUACCUCUUGGCGGGGAAUACCUCUGGGAAACCGGAGACAAUACCGCAUAAGCUCGGAAGAGGAAACCUGAAAAGGGCCGAGAGAGGAGUCCGCGGCCGAUUAGCUAGUUGGUAGGGUAAGAGCCUACCAAGGCGAAGAUCGGUAGCCGGCCUGAGAGGGCACACGGCCACACUGGCACUGAAACACGGGCCAGACUCCUACGGGAGGCAGCAGUGGGGAAUCUUGCACAAUGGGGGAAACCCUGAUGCAGCGACGCCGCGUGAGCGAUGAAGCCCUUCGGGGUGUAAAGCUCUUUCGACGGGAACGAUAAUGACGGUACCCGGAGAAGAAGCUGCGGCUAACUACGUGCCAGCAGCCGCGGUAAUACGUAGGCAGCAAGCGUUGUUCGGAGUUACUGGGCGUAAAGAGUGCGUAGGCGGUGCCCUAAGUCUGUUGUGAAAUCUCCCGGCUUAACUGGGAGGGUGCGGUGGAAACUGGGGUGCUUGAGAGUGGGAGAGGUAAGCGGAAUUCCUGGUGUAGCGGUGAAAUGCGUAGAUAUCAGGAGGAACACCGGUGGUGUAGACGGCUUACUGGACCACGACUGACGCUGAGGCACGAAAGCGUGGGUAGCAAACAGGAUUAGAUACCCUGGUAGUCCACGCCCUAAACGAUGCAUACUUGGUGUGAGCCAUUCAUUUGGUUCGUGCCGGAGCUAACGCGUUAAGUAUGCCGCCUGGGGAGUACGGUCGCAAGGCUGAAACUCAAUGAAUUGACGG
This 874-nucleotide ribosomal RNA is filed under the name uncultured bacterium. Its description in RNAcentral is "bacterial SSU rRNA". It matches the Rfam family "Bacterial small subunit ribosomal RNA", at positions 8 to 916 of the family's 1533-position model. The record is from RNAcentral.